GGGGAAUUUUCCGCAAUGGGCGAAAGCCUGACGGAGCAAGACCGCGUGAGGGAGGAAGGCUCUUGGGUUGUAAACCUCUUUUCUCAGGGAAGAAAAAAAUGACGGUACCUGAGGAAUAAGCAUCGGCUAACUCCGUGCCAGCAGCCGCGGUAAUACGGAGGAUGCAAGCGUUAUCCGGAAUUAUUGGGCGUAAAGCGUCCGCAGGUGGCACAUCAAGUCUGCUGUCAAAGACCGGGGCUUAACCCUGGAAAGGCAKUGGAAACUGAAGUGCUAGAGUGCAGGAGGGGUAGAGGGAAUUCCCGGUGUAGCGGUGAAAUGCGUAGAUAUCGGGAAGAACAUCGGUGGCGAAGGCGCUCUACUGGACUGCAACUGACACUCACAGGACGAAAGCUAGGGGAGCGAAUGGGAUUAGAUACCCCAGUAGUCCUAGCUGUAAACGAUGGAUACUAGGUGUGGCUUGUAUCGACCCGAGCCGUGCCGUAGCUAACGYGUUAAGUAUCCCGCCUGGGGAGUACGCGCGCAAGCGUGAAACUCAAAGGAAUUGACGGGGGCCCGCACAAGCGGUGGAGUAUGUGGUUUAAUUCGAUGCAACGCGAAGAACCUUACCAGGGCUUGACAUGUCCGGAAUCCCUAGGAAACUAGGGAGUGCCUUCGGGAACCGGAACACAGGUGGUGCAUGGCUGUCGUCAGCUCGUGUCGUGAGAUGUUGGGUUAAGUCCCGCAACGAGCGCAACCCUCGUCUUUAGUUGCCAUCAUUAAGUUGGGCACUCUAGAGAGACUGCCGGUGACAAACCGGAGGAAGGUGGGGAUGACGUCAAGUCAGCAUGCCCCUUACGCCCUGGGCAACACACGUACUACAAUGCUUCGGACAGAGGGCAGCAAGCCAGCGAUGGCAAGCCAAUCCCAUAAACCGAGGCUCAGUUCAGAUUGCAGGCUGCAACUCGCCUGCAUGAAGGCGGAAUCGCUAGUAAUCGCCGGUCAGCAUACGGCGGUGAAUCCGUUCCCGGGCCUUGUACACACCGCCCGUCACACCAUGGAAGUUGGCCACGCCCGAAGUCGUUACUCCAACCGUUCGCGGAGGAGGACGCCGAAGGCAGGGCUGAUGACUGGGGUGAAGUCGUAACAAGGUAGCCGUACCGGAAGGUGUGGCUGGAUCACCUCCU
Molecule: ribosomal RNA, 1163 nt
Filed under: Kastovskya circularithylacoides ATA3-5Q-CV5
Lineage: Bacteria; Bacillati; Cyanobacteriota; Cyanophyceae; Coleofasciculales; Coleofasciculaceae
Description: bacterial SSU rRNA
Rfam family: Bacterial small subunit ribosomal RNA
Source: RNAcentral